UAAUACGGAGGGUGCAAGCGUUGUCCGGAUUUAUUGGGUUUAAAGGGUGCGUAGGCGGCUUUUUAAGUCAGUGGUGAAAUCCUCCAGCUUAACUGGAGUCGUGCCAUUGAUACUGGAAAGCUUGAGUACAGGCGAGGUUGGCGGAAUUGAAGGUGUAGCGGUGAAAUGCAUAGAUAUCUUCAAGAACACCGAUUGCGAAGGCAGCUAACUAGACUGUAACUGACGCUGAGGCACGAAAGUGUGGGGAUCGAACAGGAUUAGAUACCCUGGUAGUCCACACUGUAAACGAUGAUCACUCGAUGUUGGCGAUAGACAGCCAGCGUCCAAGCAAAAGCGUUAAGUGAUCCACCUGGGGAGUACGCCCGCAAGGGUG
Molecule: ribosomal RNA, 373 nt
Filed under: uncultured bacterium
Lineage: Bacteria
Description: bacterial SSU rRNA
Rfam family: Bacterial small subunit ribosomal RNA
Source: RNAcentral